AAUGGAUCACUGAUGUUAGUAAAAAACUGCGUUAUCUUUCUGCAAUUUCCGUAAAGGGAUUGAAGAUAAUUAUAAUUUACUGAGAUCCUCU
Molecule: small nucleolar RNA, 91 nt
Organism: Quercus robur (English oak)
Lineage: Eukaryota; Viridiplantae; Streptophyta; Magnoliopsida; Fagales; Fagaceae
Product: small nucleolar RNA snoR27
Exons: 1
Source: RefSeq, a predicted model, not a curated record